This 251-nucleotide unclassified non-coding RNA is filed under the name Hevea brasiliensis (rubber tree). Lineage: Eukaryota; Viridiplantae; Streptophyta; Magnoliopsida; Malpighiales; Euphorbiaceae. The record is from RNAcentral.
CCGGUGGUUUGCUCGAAUGGCUCUGUUAAUGGUGGGCUGUUUUAUCUUUCUGUGGCAAAGGCACAAGGACUGAUCUGUGAAGCUAAUUAAUCUUCUUCAACGAGGGUCACAGAUCUGUCACUUUUGGAUGCUUACAGGCAAAGAUCUUUGAGCAACAAUUUGGUGAAAAAAUAAAAAAGCAACAGAGGAAGCAAGAAAAGGCAAGAAGAGAGACAAACAAGGAGAAAAAUAAAUUCUUUUAAGAGCUGCAC